GAUGAACGCUGGCGGCGUGCCUAACACAUGCAAGUCGAACGGGAACCCUUGGAUUCGUCUGGGGGGGAGAGUGGCAAACGGGUGAGUAACACGUAGGUGACCUGCCCCAAAGAGAGGAAUAACCACUGGAAACGGUGGCUAAUACCACAUGUGGUCUACCGGUCAACGGUAGAUUAAAGCUCCGGCGCUUUGGGAGGGGCCUGCGGCCCAUCAGGUAGUUGGUAGGGUAAUGGCCUACCAAGCCGAUGACGGGUAGGGGGCGUGAGAGCGUGAUCCCCCACACUGGCACUGAGACACGGGCCAGACUCCCACGGGAGGCAGCAGUGAGGAAUAUUGCCCAAUAGACGCAAGUCUGAGGCAGCAACGCCGCGUGCGCGAUGAAGGCUUUCGGGUUGUAAAGCGCUUUUCUGGGGGAAGAGGAAGGACGGUACCUCAGGAAUAAGUCACGGCUAACUCCGUG
RNAcentral lists this ribosomal RNA (460 nucleotides) under uncultured bacterium. Its description in RNAcentral is "bacterial SSU rRNA". It matches the Rfam family "Bacterial small subunit ribosomal RNA", at positions 28 to 507 of the family's 1533-position model. The record is from RNAcentral.